CAAACUAACGAAUGGAUUUCCAAUGAUUUGUCAAUAAUUCAUUUCUAUAAAAGGGCACAUUCAUCAUUAGACACAUAGAAGUUGGAUAAACCCAACAACCUUCCAUCCAGAGGCAACAAAAUUGACACCCAUUUUUUAGAGUUGUUGGUGCCUCAUCCUAUAACUGACAACAACGUUAGGAAAUUUGGAGACGUUGUUAGGGGCCCCGAGAAGAGUUAUCUUUUCUUUUUAACAUCUUUACCACCCUAAAAUCGGCUCAACCGGAGAUAGGGUCCAACAGCUGGAAGAGCAUCGCACGUCUUGUGGUGUCUAGUGCACCCUCGAUGGCCCUUGAAAAUCUAGAGGACUGAGUACCGUCCAUGCCCAGUAGUACUCAUAACCGCAUCAGGUCUCCAAGGUGAACAACCUCUG
Picea glauca (white spruce) is the source of this 411-nucleotide non-coding RNA. NCBI's taxonomy places the organism in Eukaryota, Viridiplantae, Streptophyta, Pinopsida, Pinales, Pinaceae. The record is from Rfam.